UAUUAGCUCAGUUGGUUAGAGCACACCCCUGAUAAGGGUGAGGUCUCUGGUUCAAGUCCA
This 60-nucleotide transfer RNA is filed under the name uncultured eukaryote. It matches the Rfam family "tRNA", at positions 8 to 61 of the family's 71-position model. From Rfam's summary of the family: Transfer RNA (tRNA) molecules are approximately 80 nucleotides in length. Their secondary structure includes four short double-helical elements and three loops (D, anti-codon, and T loops). The record is from RNAcentral.